UUGUUUCCCACCUUUAGACGUAUCAGAGGAGUAUGCCAACUAAAAAUGUCACUGUGACAGUGGCAUUUCUCAAAUUCGUCCGAUACGUCUAAAGGUGGGAAAUAAUCAAUAUAAUGUCAAUCUAUAAGUUACUAUCGCUAAAUUUAACAACUCCACAAGGUUCAUCUCUUUUUAUCUCACAACUUAAUUAUGUUUUCCAUCUUUUGCGUUAUUUUGUCGGUUAUUAGUGCGUUAUUACUGUAGAGUAUAAUUAUAAUUUACUACUUGAUGCCAUAUAGUGCUAGUCUAAAGUCCGUACCCCUCUCGUAUCUUUUGAACGGUUAUACCUAUAAUAGUGAAAUUUGGUGGGAGCAAAUAAACAGACGUAAGCUUUUUAACUAGUCAUAACAGGUGACGUAAUUAUGACAGAUGACUGUACAGAGCCACUGUGACAGAUAAUUUUAAAUGGGACCUUAUGGCAAGUGAUACCUCGUUUGAAAGGUAUUGAAAACACCUAUUCAGGCAUACUAAUUUUGUUUGAGUUUAAGCUAAUUCUGAUGAAUAAAUGAAAUAAAUAUAAAAUUGUAGUUUCGCAUUUAAUUCAUAAAAAUUCGACCCCCUUGUAACGGUCACAUUACGAAAUUAGAUCUUUAAUUAUUUUUAUAAGUAUUUCCCCUCGGUCUCUCAUUUGAUUUCUUUCAACUUCUCUAAUUUUCUCGUAAAUAAAUAUUUACGUGACGUCACACUUCAGAGUAUGGAACAUACUCUACACCUCGGGUAAUAAUUUGAUUCGUGUGCUGACAAUUUGACGUUUUGCUCUGUGAAGUGGCGAGACGAGAGACUUCACUUGUGGUUGGGAAUUUGGUUAGUAUGGAUGGCGGGUGAGGAUCAAAUUUGGAGGUUAGACCUCGUGUUAAUAAAAAUGUGUGACUUUUGAAUUAUGGAUCACCAAACCUAUCUAGGAGUGUUUGGGAAUACAGAAGGUAUUAAUCCAAUGGGGUUUACAGCAUAACAUCAUCGUAUCACACGCCAUCCAUGUGAAAUCUUAAAUAACACCUCGAAACACCAAGAGGCCAAACUCCAACCAUAAGUCACUGGGAGUAGUUACUUGGGGAACAAGCCUUUUGGGGGCAUUCCAGCUCCUUUUCGUAUUAGCACUUGGACCUACAGGAGGCAUGAUUUUUGCACUAUCCUAGUGCUCAUUUCCGGGGAUGCGCCAGCAACCUAUUUAGGAGUCGUUCGAGUUUGUUUGAGAACUACCAGUGGGUGACAUUAGUAACUAUUGUGUGUUUAUCUCCUGUUUUAUUUUAAUGCACUGUUUAUUAAUUUUGUUUCAGAUUUAGUUUACCUAUUUAUAUAACAUAUUUGUAUAUUAUGGUAUUAAGUUCCCAAACUCAUGUAUCAUUUUGCGGUACUGUACGUUGAGCUCUGCGUAUUUGCCCAAAAGUUAUUACUUCUAAUAUUUUAUUGUUUAUUUAGGUCGAUUUCAUGUCAUUAUGUAAAUUUAGGUUGUACUAUUUGCUUGUUUCCCAAAUAUGUUAUUUAUUCGCUUUAUUUCAUUUGUUCAGUUAAUUCGUCGCUACUUUAUUUUAUUGCAUUUGCUCGGGUAAUUUAGGUCAUCGUUUGGGUAUUUAUCUUAGCUUCAUUUUUAUAACUUUUAUUAAUGCAUUUGCUUAAUUCAUCAUGGUAUUUUCUCUUCGCCAGGCUUGUGCCUAUUUAUUUAUAUUACUUUUAAUAUUUCGGGUUUUAAUUCAGUUGUACGUAGCAAGCGUACUAUAACCAUUGGGUAGAAAUCUCAUGUGAGUUGUACCCUAUAUGUAAGUGAGAGGCACUUAGGUAAUUUUGUAACAGAUAACAUUAUUGUAGUUAUCUCAAAUAUAACUAUGUAAAACUUGUGAUUGUAUAGUCACAGUAUAUGCUUUAUAUAACUCAGAUAUUGUCAAAGAUCUAGUAGUUAUUUUUAAUAAAUAUUUAUUUAUUUUGUAUAUAUCAUUUAUUUUUAUUAUUCCUUUAUGUUCAUUAUUACAGAUUUAAUUUAUUUAAUAUUUAACAGCAGUGUAAGAUACCUGGGAAAGUGAUCGAAGAUCAUUUUCUUGGCGCCCAUGAUUUGUUAGUUUUAUUUAUUUUGAUCGUCUUUAGAAAUCAUUCAUCUUCAUUAAUUUUUAGUAUAUUAUUCUUAUUUUAUUAUUUCACCUUUUAGUCAUCAUUAUUAUUAACUUAGAGCUACUGUUCUUCGACAGGCAUGCAAACGAGCCGUAUCCAUCCUUGAGUGUCAAGUUGUUCUCUUGCAUCUCUUGCUAGCCAACUCUAUUUAGUUUGCCUCUGUCUCUUCCCAUUCCUACGUCUAUCCCUUUUAAUUCCCGUUUCUUCAGUACUACUGCACUUUAGUAGUAAUUUUUCAUACUUCGGCUUCGACGCUGAAGCCCCUUCAUUUUUAUUUUCAUAAUAGCCACAACUAUUAGUUAUCUAGUUUUCUUACUUCUGUUGGAGUAUAUCCUUCUUUUUACUUUCACUCCAACAGAAGUUUUCUUAUUUUUGUUACAUUGGCGCCCAACGUGGGGCCAACCGUUUAUGGUUCUAAGACAGUAGUCCUUUUAGUUCAUUUCUUUUUUCUUUUAUGGAAUUUUCUGUAUUAUUACCUUUUUGAUAUCUUUGUAUACAUGUUAUUUCUGAUUUAUUUUUGUCGUUAAAUUUUUUAUUAAUACUAAACAGGUAGACUUAUACUGCUUUUCUUUGUUUAUGAUUAGUUUAUUUUCGAUACCUCAUUUUUUAUUAGGUUUAGUGGUACAGCUCAUAUUGUAGUUUGAAUUUUGUAUUUUUAUUGGAAACUUAUUUAUGUAUUUAGACUGAGUAUACAUAACUGACUUAUGUUCUAUUAUGAUAAAUUUUUAUUCCUUUUACCAAUGGUAGUAUGUUUGCUCGUACAAUUAAUCGGUGACUAUAUGCACAUAUUUUUUUUCUAAUAUGGUUAUAUUUUAUACAUAACUAGAAAUCAUUUUCAGUAUUUAGGUACUUUAUUUACUUUAUUGAUUUGAUUUUUUAUAUAUUUUGCUGGCAUUUUUGAUUUGUUGGUGUGUCGCUAAUAUUUUCUCCAUAUGUAUAUUUGUCUUACAAACUUUAGAUUAUAUUUUAUAUUUGUUAUUUUUGAUAUUUGGGUUGUUUGGUAAGACAGGCACACACCACAAAGUAAUAUCAGUCCAGAACAUUAGCUUCUAUACAUGAUACGUUGAGUUCGCAUGGUUCGGAUGAUUACAGAUGGUCAUCUAACUUUAUUUUUCUUUAAUUGGUAGUGUUAAACAUAACAAUUUUAAUUAUUGUAUGGUAAAGUAGUUCCAUUAUCCAUCUCACCUUCUAGUUUGUUAAUUUUGAUAAUAAUAUUAUAUUAAUGUGGGUACCAUAAUAUAAUCCUUAUAUAAAUCAGAUACUUUAGGUUGAGAUUCAAAUAUAAAUUCGUUAUUAGUUAGGAAACAUUGAUACUAUUUUUCAAUUAAGUUAUAGAAUAAUCUUCAGAAGAAGAUUACCUUAACAGUGUUGUUCAAGCUAAUCUCUUCUUCUGUUUGUCUUUAGCUUAGCUCAAUCUUUAGUAUGGUUAGAAAUUUUAGUCUGAUAUUUUUUAUCAUCCGAUAAUGCAGGUACCUACAUACAUUGCUUGAUUUCAUCUUUGGCUUUGUUGUUGAUGACUUUAUUUAUGAAUUUAUUACUUAUUAGUUUAAUUAUUAGUAGUACUUUAUGUAUGAGUUUAUUUUUUUUGUAUUAUACAUGAUGCAUUUUAAUUAUUAGUAUGAGUCAAUAUUAUUCAUUGCUGAUCCUGUCAGUAGGAUUACACAAUUAAUAAUAAGUUCACUUGUAUUUUUGUUUAGUUUUGCACACCUAACCCCUAAGUUAGUAGGGUUGUUAACUUAUUAUAUAUUUAUAUAGUUGGAUAGGAGAGCUCAUACAAGUACUCUUGUUUAAUAUGGAUAUUAUGAUGGAACUAUGUUACACUAUCAUAUCUCAGGUUAUGUGUUAUAUUAUUUUGAAUAUUUGAUUACUUAUUAAUUUUUAUUAUUUUUUAUAUCUUGUUAUUGGAUUUGCCAUAUUGGAAAGAUGUGGUUUUUAUUUUUUAUUAGGUUACUCUAUUGACACUUGUCUCCAAUAUUUUAAAUAUUUUAUAAUAAUUCAGACCCUUAUUUCCUAUACAGUAUGAUUCUGGAAUUAGUUUGGAAUUUUGAUGUAUGUAUGAAUUCUUGAGUCUUUCAUAUUUCUUCUUAGAAACUAGUCUGUUGAUGCUCAAAGUUGGUGAAUACGUGGGUUCGAAGUUCAGCAAGGCGCCAUUGCUAUCCAAUUUCGCAAUCUAUGUUUUUCAUUGCAGAGUAGACAGAUGUUAAUCUAUCAUAAUAUUUCUUGUCAGGAAAUGUCUGCAGCAGGUCCUAACCAUUCUAGUGUUAGUCCAAUUAUUCCAGUUAUAUUUUUACCAUUUGAUAGGGAAGUGUUUAGUUUAUAUUAUGUCUCGUACUUCAUAGUAUGUCUGUUUUUUGACUAUCCCUAUACACAGUAGAUCCCUUAAUUUAGUAUUUGAGGUGUUUAGACAAAUGAGUUGUUCAUUUGAGUAUAUUCCCACUUCUUUCCUUAGGCAUUAGUUUUGCUAUUGAGAUUCAGGAAUAUAUUCCUGGAUAAUUCUAUGUAUGCGAGAACGCAUAAAUCUACAGUUUUAUUCAAAAUUGGUUGCUCAUUCUCGUCACAUAUUUUUUUCCUAUCACUUAUCAUAGUGCCAUAGAACUUGUAAGUUCACCAUUCCAUUCUGUUUUCUUUCUUACUUAUUCUUACGUUAUUAGUACUUUAUCUGAGUCUGGUUAUUCUCAUACAUCUGUUGUAGCAACAUGCUAUAGUUCGCGAAUACCAGCACGAAUUAAGUUUAUGUAGUUUCUAUAAUAUUUUAGUCAAUACACUAUAGGUAUUUAUCAUACCUUUGAUUUAGUUUGGUUACAUCUCUGUUACUUAGUCUGUUAGUAAUUUUUUUUCUGACUUAUUUUGGAUUAGUUAGUUUGGAUAGGUUCAUAUUACCGGAUGAGGGUGUAUGUAGACCUAAUUUAUUUAUUUUGUUCAGUAUUAGUUACCAUUGGAUCCAAUAAUUUAGUUUAUUUAGCAUUAGUAAGAAUUGGUCCAUAAAUUUGCCUGAUCGUUCUUCUUUGGAUAUGCUCUUAUAUAAAUCUGGUGUCCAUUGAUAGUCCGAUUCUGGAUAAGUGUCCGAUUCUUCAUUUAUUUUGUGUAUUUGGUUGGAUAGGUUCGUAUUACCGGAUGUGGGUGUACGUAGACCUGAUCUGUUUAUGUGGUUUAGUAUUGGUGUGAAUUGGUCCAUAAAUCUUCCUGGUCGUUCUUCUUUGGAUAUGCUAUUAUGAAUCUGGUGUCCACUGAGAGUCUGACUUUGGAUUAAGUGUCCGAUGUCACAUCUAUUUUGGUUAUUGAGAUUUGGAUUCCUUUGGUAUGGUUAUUAUUGGUAUUAUUUGGCAUUUGUGAGAAUUGUUCCAUAAAUCUUCCUGACUGUUCUUCUCUGGAUAUACUAUUAUGAAUCGGGUGUCCAUUGUUAGUUCAAUUUUGGAUUAAGUGUUCAAUUCUUUACUUACUUUAGUUACUGAUUUUUUUUUAAUUCACUUUGGUAUAUUUACUCUUGAUAUGGUUCGAAUUGGCUCACACCUUUUCCGGGUUGUUCCGUCCUUGGAUAUACCCUUUAUAAAUCUGAUGUCCAUGGAUAGUUCAAUUUUGGUUUUAGUGCCAAAUUCGACACUUAGUUAUUAUUAUGAACUUUAGUACAAUAUUUAGUUUUGUUUUGACUUUUAAGCAAUAUUAUGUCAAUAUUUGGUAGCAGAGAGUAACAUAGUAACAUUUUAGUGUGAAUUUGAGUCAUAUAUUAAUUUAUUUUUCCUUGAACAUUAAUUUAUGCUUAUUGGUAAUCUUGCGAAUCAACGUGGAUUGUUAGACUAUGUAUUGCAAAGUUAGUUGUUAUUAUUUUGAAGUUUAGGAAAAAAAAAUUUAUUGAUAAAAUUUUUUUCCCGAGUAGAAGUGGAUUGUAACGGUCACGUUACGAAAUUAGAUCUUUAAUUAUUUUUAUAAUUAUUUCCCCUCGGUCUCUCAUUUGAUUUCUUUCAACUUCUCUAAUUUUCUCGUAAAUAAAUAUUUACGUGACGUCACACUUCAGAGUAUGGAACAUACUCUACACCUCGGGUAAUAAUUUGAUUCGUGUGCUGAGAAUUUGACGUUUUGCUCUGUGAAGUGGCGAGACGAGAGACUUCACUUGUGGUUGGGAAUUUGGUUAGUAUGGAUGGCGGGUGAGGAUCAAAUUUGGAGGUUAGACCUCGUGUUAAUAAAAAUGUGUGACUUUUGAAUUAUGGAUCACCAAACCUAUCUAGGAGUGUUUGGGAAUACAGAAGGUAUUAAUCCAAUGGGGUUUACAGCAUAACAUCAUCUUAUCACACGCCAUCCAUGUGAAAUCUUAAAUAACACCUCGAAACACCAAGAGGCCAAUCUCCAACCAUAAGUCACUGGGAGUAGUUACUUGGGGAACAAGCUUUUUGGGGGAAUUCCAGCUCCUUUUCGUAUUAGCACUUGGACCUACAGGAGGCAUGAUUUUUGCACUAUCCUAGUGCUCAUUUCCGGGGAUGCGCCAGCAACCUAUUUAGGAGUCGUUCGGGUUUGUUUGGGAACUACCAGUGGGUGACAUUAGUAACUAUUGUGUGUUUAUCUCCUAUGAUUUAUUUUAAUGCACUGUUUAUUAAUUUUGUUUCAGAUUUAGUUUACCUAUUUUUAUAACAUAUUUGUAUAUUAUGGUAUUAAGUUCCCAAACUCAUAUAUCAUUUUGCGGUACUGUACGUUGAGCUCUGCAUAUUUGCCCAAAAGGUAUUAUUUCUAAUAUUUUAUUAACGUAAAGACUGAAAAAGUUUUGUACACACUUAUGACAACAGGUAAAAGGGGGAGAAGUGUACUUUUGAAGUGUGUAAAAUUAAUAAUUCUUAGCUGAGCGCUUUCGGCUUAUAAAGCCAUCUUCGGAGCUAUGCUACAAUAAAAGAUCUCUAAUGAAUAAUUGAUCUUAGAAUUCAAAGUUUAACUUACGUCAAAAAGGUCAAAAUACCACUAUGAAGAGAGAUGGGUUCCAUUUAUGAUAUGAAAUACUUCUGUUUCUUAUGUAGUUUUUUAUUGGUUGGAAAAAACCUUGUCUGUCUGUUUAAAAAAUUGUUCAAUUUGCCGUUGGUUGUUUUUGUAUCCAGAAAAGUUAAACAUCAAGAACGAGCACAAUGGACUUUCACACGAAAAUUACAUUAUAUAUAAAACGAAUAUUUGAUCAUGGUAAGGUCAAAAAGACCUUACCAUUUGAAUACUGCGGUGUCAGAUAGCAGAAUGGUCGCCUCGCAUGGAGGAUUUUUAAUGACAGUCGAUGUAGACAGGGUGUGCUCGUUAAGGUGUCUUCACAUUUUCUCAUAUAAAGUGACAGUUGACAUAUGACAUUUUUAGCAAUUGGAUUGAACAACUUUUCAACAAAGUCUGUAGUUACAUAAAUCUGGUUUUUUAAAAAUAAUGAAAUACAUAUUGAAAAGAGACUUAAGGUCUAGGAUAAACCAAUUGACAAGUUAUCCUUCACAAACCAAACUCGAAUCGGUUUUGAAAAUUAAUACAUGAUGUAAAGAAACUUGAUGGUGAAGUUUUUUAGGAAGAUGGGAAAUAA
RNAcentral lists this long non-coding RNA (7675 nucleotides) under Diabrotica virgifera virgifera (western corn rootworm). Its description in RNAcentral is "uncharacterized LOC126883190". Lineage: Eukaryota; Metazoa; Arthropoda; Insecta; Coleoptera; Chrysomelidae. The record is from RNAcentral.